AUCUUACUGUGACCACCUUGAGGAGUGAGCUAUUGUGAUUAAUACGGUAUUUUCCACUGUUUUGUUCUGUUAUCUCGCAAUAGAUCUAGAGGAACAAAUCAAGUCAAAUAUGGUAUUUUAACCAAAAGCACAUGUUCAAGAAUGUUGGGGACCUCUUUUACAUUCAAAUGAACUCAAUCGUAAAGAAAUGUGUCUAUAUUUUUGACGACGUUUCUGAGUGCGACUGAGAUGAAUCAUGAAUAUAGUCGUGACAACACCUUUCAAAUGGGAAUUUCUGAUAGAGAUCGGUGAAUUAUACCAUAAGUUAACACAUGAGAAAUUGGUCAUGAACUUUAUUGUUUUGGAAAUGGUGAAUUUUAUAUGGACAAGACUCAUAUUUGUUUCUAUCGACCUAAUCAACGCAAACAAAUUAUGUCGCUUGUGGGAUUUGUUAAAGGAACAAAUGAUUCAGGAUGGUAGAAAGAAUAGCAGGUGCGUUGUAGUGAUCUUAUUUAUGUUAAUGGUGGGUGCUUAAACGCAAUGCCUUGUGAGAAUAUAUAUCAUCCCAUCCCUGCUUGUGUAAUAUGUUCUUUAUUAAAGUCAUAGUCAUGAUUAAUUAUCACUCUUCUGAGAAGACCUCAAUGGUGUUUUAUUCCAAAGAAGCAGAUUAAAAUUAAUAAAUUUGAAAGAAAUUGAAAGUUGUAAAAUAAUGGUAUCUCACUUCUGUGCUUUUUAGAUCCUAUAGAGACAGUAUAAAGUGAAGAUGGAAAAAUGCUGCAAACAGUUACUUUCAGUUGCAUGUCGAUAUAUGCAUUAUAUUGCAUUGUGUAAAAACAAUUUAAUUGUAAAGGGUCUCUAGUAUUAUAGGAUCUGUGUGAAAUCUAUCAGCCUAAUCAUAAAAAAAUGUAUUGGUUAUAAAACAUUGUUUGUUGACUGAAUACUGCAACCUGCUGAGAUCAUUUUAGCUUUGUCUUUUCUUCAUGGAGUAAAUCAGGCUUUUAGGUUUCAAGAAAUUGUGACAUUGUUAUAUGUUCUGCCCUCAAUAAUACAGAUCAAUUAAUAAACAGCAUAAUAUGUAUAUUUUAUGAGACUGACUGCUGCCUUGACACACCUACACACAUUACAAUUGCAUUAAAAUACACUACAGUACUGCUUACAAACUUUUACUUUAGUAAUUUUACAGUAACAGUACUUUUACUUUAGUCAUUUUACAGUAAAA
RNAcentral lists this long non-coding RNA (1198 nucleotides) under Paramuricea clavata. Lineage: Eukaryota; Metazoa; Cnidaria; Anthozoa; Malacalcyonacea; Plexauridae. The record is from RNAcentral.